This 425-nucleotide ribosomal RNA is filed under the name uncultured bacterium. Its description in RNAcentral is "partial 16S ribosomal RNA". It matches the Rfam family "Bacterial small subunit ribosomal RNA", at positions 354 to 796 of the family's 1533-position model. The record is from RNAcentral.
GUGGGGAAUCUUGCGCAAUGGGCGAAAGCCUGACGCAGCCAUGCCGCGUGAAUGAUGAAGGUCUUAGGAUUGUAAAAUUCUUUCACCGGGGACGAUAAUGACGGUACCCGGAGAAGAAGCUCCGGCUAACUUCGUGCCAGCAGCCGCGGUAAUACGAAGGGGGCUAGCGUUGCUCGGAAUUACUGGGCGUAAAGGGCGCGUAGGCGGACAGCUUAGUCAGAGGUGAAAGCCCAGGGCUCAACCUUGGAAUUGCCUUUGAUACUGGCUGUCUUGAGUUUGGGAGAGGUGAGUGGAACUCCGAGUGUAGAGGUGAAAUUCGUAGAUAUUCGGAAGAACACCAGUGGCGAAGGCGGCUCACUGGACCAGAAUUGACGCUGAGGUGCGAAAGCGUGGGGAGCAAACAGGAUUAGAUACCCGGGUAGUCC